RNAcentral lists this ribosomal RNA (692 nucleotides) under Escherichia coli. RNAcentral's name for it is "partial 23S ribosomal RNA". It matches the Rfam family "Bacterial large subunit ribosomal RNA", at positions 1053 to 1746 of the family's 2925-position model. The record is from RNAcentral. Lineage: Bacteria; Pseudomonadati; Pseudomonadota; Gammaproteobacteria; Enterobacterales; Enterobacteriaceae.
UCAUGGUUAAGUGGGAAACGAUGUGGGAAGGCCCAGACAGCCAGGAUGUUGGCUUAGAAGCAGCCAUCAUUUAAAGAAAGCGUAAUAGCUCACUGGUCGAGUCGGCCUGCGCGGAAGAUGUAACGGGGCUAAACCAUGCACCGAAGCUGCGGCAGCGACGCUUAUGCGUUGUUGGGUAGGGGAGCGUUCUGUAAGCCUGUGAAGGUGUGCUGUGAGGCAUGCUGGAGGUAUCAGAAGUGCGAAUGCUGACAUAAGUAACGAUAAAGCGGGUGAAAAGCCCGCUCGCCGGAAGACCAAGGGUUCCUGUCCAACGUUAAUCGGGGCAGGGUGAGUCGACCCCUAAGGCGAGGCCGAAAGGCGUAGUCGAUGGGAAACAGGUUAAUAUUCCUGUACUUGGUGUUACUGCGAAGGGGGGACGGAGAAGGCUAUGUUGGCCGGGCGACGGUUGUCCCGGUUUAAGCGUGUAGGCUGGUUUUCCAGGCAAAUCCGGAAAAUCAAGGCUGAGGCGUGAUGACGAGGCACUACGGUGCUGAAGCAACAAAUGCCCUGCUUCCAGGAAAAGCCUCUAAGCAUCAGGUAACAUCAAAUCGUACCCCAAACCGACACAGGUGGUCAGGUAGAGAAUACCAAGGCGCUUGAGAGAACUCGGGUGAAGGAACUAGGCAAAAUGGUGCCGUAACUUCGGGAGAAGG